This 468-nucleotide ribosomal RNA is filed under the name uncultured bacterium. RNAcentral's name for it is "partial 16S ribosomal RNA". It matches the Rfam family "Bacterial small subunit ribosomal RNA", at positions 28 to 507 of the family's 1533-position model. The record is from RNAcentral.
GACGAACGCUGGCGGCCUGCUUAACACAUGCAAGUCGAACGGAAAGGCCCUGCUUUUGUGGGGUGCUCGAGUGGCGAACGGGUGAGUAACACGUGAGUAACCUGCCCUUGACUUUGGGGUAACUUCAGGAAACUGGGGCUAAUACCGGAUAGGAGCUCCUGCUGCAUGGUGGGGGUUGGAAAGUUUCGGCGGUUGGGGAUGGACUCGCGGCUUAUCAGCUUGUUGGUGGGGUAGUGGCUUACCAAGGCUUUGACGGGUAGCCGGCCUGAGAGGGUGACCGGCCACAUUGGGACUGAGAUACGGCCCAGACUCCUACGGGAGGCAGCAGUGGGGAAUAUUGCACAAUGGGCGGAAGCCUGAUGCAGCAACGCCGCGUGCGGGAUGACGGCCUUCGGGUUGUAAACCGCUUUCGCCUGUGACGAAGCGUGAGUGACGGUAAUGGGUAAAGAAGCACCGGCUAACUACGUG